This is a long non-coding RNA of Phasianus colchicus (ring-necked pheasant), 1893 nucleotides long. NCBI's taxonomy places the organism in Eukaryota, Metazoa, Chordata, Aves, Galliformes, Phasianidae. The record is from Ensembl.
AUGGCCAAGUGCCACCCAGUGCCACCCAGUGCCAGCCAGUGCCAGCAUGGGGACGUGGCCAAGUGUCACCCAGUGUCACCCAGUGCCACCCAGUGCCAGCAUGAGGAUAUGGCCAAGUGCCACCCAGUGCCACCCAGUGCCACCACCCAGUGCCAGCAUGAGGACGUCACCAAUUGUCACCCAGCGCCACCCAGUGCCACGCAGCGGCCCGGCCCCGCGCCCACCUGCAGUGUAGAUGUCGAAGUAGGUGGCCUUGUUGGCCACGUUGCCGCUGGGCUCGAUGCCGGGGCCGCGUGCCGACACUUUGCUGGCGUCGCCGUGCGCCAUCGCCACGUUCACCCCAAAGGGGCUCCCGGAGAUGUUCUGCCCCCCAAACAGCACCGUCACCUGCGGGCACAACCGCCGUCACGGCUGGGAAAAGCCUGGGGACGGCACGGGGACACGGCACGGGGACACAGCAUGCGGAUGGCAUGGGGACAGCAUGGGGACAGCAUGGGGACACGGCACGGGGACACGGCAUGGGGACACGGCAUGGGGACAUGGCAUGCGGAUGGCAUGGGGACAGCAUGGGGAUGGCAUGGGGACACGGCACGGGGACACGGCAUGGGGAUGGCAUGGGGACACGGCAUGGGGCACAGCAUGGGGACAGCUUGGGGACAACUUGGGGACAGCAUGGCAACACAGCACAGGGACAGCAUGGGAACACGGCAUGGGGAUGGCAUGGGGACAGCAUGGGGACAGCUUGGGGACAGAGUGGCAACACAGCACAGGGACAGCAUGGGGACAGAAUGGGGACACAGCAUGGGGACAUCGUAUGGGGACAUGGCAUGGGGACACGGCAUGGGGAUGACAUGGGGACAGCACGGGGACACAGCAUGGGGACAGCUUGGGGACACAGCACGGGGACAGCAUGGGGACAGAAUGGGGACACAGCACAGGGACAGCAUGGGGACAGCAUGGGGACACAGCAUGGGGACACAGCAUGGGGACAGAAUGGGGACACAGCAUGGGGACGUGGCAUGGGGACAGAGAAUGGGGACACAGCAUGGGGACAGCUUGGGGACAGCUUGGGGACAGAAUGGGACACAGCAUGGGGAUAGAAUGGGAACACUGCACAGGGACAGCUUGGGGACAGAACGGGGGGACAGAAUGGGGACACCUUGAGGGCACAGUGACACACAUAGGUAGACCUCAGUGAUACAAUGACGGAUGUGGGGGCACCGCAGUGACACAGUGACAAACAUGGGGACAGCUCAGGGACACAGUGACACGUGUAGGAACACCUCAGUGACACAUGUGGGGACAGCACAGUGACACAGUGACACGUGUGGGGACAGAAAUGUGACACAGUGACACACGUAGGGGCAGCGCAGUGACACGGUGGCACACGCGGGCCGUGUUGGUGUCACCCACCUUGUGCAGCCCCGCCACUUUGGGGACAUAGGUGACAGAGAAGCUCUUCUUCUCGUCAUUGUUGGCCACCACCUGGGCCUGCAGUGACAGCAGGGAGAGAGAAGAGAAUCAAAGGGAAGCACUGGGACCAACGGGGUGCACUGAGACUCAAUACGACCCUAAAGGACCCAACAGGACCCAACGGAACCCAACGGGACGCACUGAGACUCAAUACGACCCAAAAGGACCCAAAAGGACCCAAUGGGACGCACUGAGAGUCAAUAUGACCCAAAAGGACCCAAAAGGACCCAAUGGGACCCAACGGGACACACUGAGACUCCAUACAACCCCAAAGGACCCAGUGGGACCCAUCAGGACCCAACGGGACGCACUGAGACUCAAUACGACCCAAAAGGACCCAAUGGGACCCAACGGGAUGCACUGAGACUCAAUAUGACCCAAAAGGACCCAAUGGGACCCAAUGGGACGCACUGAGACUCC